This 1947-nucleotide long non-coding RNA is filed under the name Paramuricea clavata. The record is from RNAcentral. Lineage: Eukaryota; Metazoa; Cnidaria; Anthozoa; Malacalcyonacea; Plexauridae.
CUCGAAGACAAUACAAAAUUACAAUAACAAAGCAAUUACGUACAUGAUUGACAGUUAAUACAGUGAACCUAUUUAUAGCUAAUUAUAGCAUAAUGUCUCUGUCUGAUAAUGUAACGAUAUAUUAAAAUGUUAAUUUCUCUGUUCAUAACACUCCCCAGGGUUGAGCCGUACACAGUGCUCAACAAUACUCCCCAGAAUAAUCGUAACUAGAAAUAUGAAAGUUUCACGAACUACAGUCUGUCUAACUGUUCGCAUAAUCGGUUUCUCAAAUAAUUAAUUAACGGAUAAUGUUUAUGUCUUCCUUUGAAACUCUUUCAUCUGUUCCAGUCUUCGCAAUUCACCCACUACAUAUUCUCCUUGCAUAUUCUCCGUGUUCCUAGCAGUUCGUUUAACUUCAAGUUCGUUGACAAACCUUAACACGUACGCUGUUACACGCAACAGCUUAGCGAAGCUGCUGAAACGGUCACAAUUUAUGAUGUCGUUCAGAUUCAAUUCAGCUGAUUCUUCUUCUUUCGUACUGACGAGUGAAUGAAUAACCGUCUGCGGUUUCUUAACGGUUUCGUUCAAAGCUGUGUCAUCCAGGGCGCUCGCUGCUGGAUCCUUCGGCCACUCGCACUGAGGCUUGUAAAGAUACUCUGGUCCACUCCACCUGGUCCAAUGGUAGCUGAUCCAUUAUAGACCACUCGCAACUUUGUAGUCGAUUUGUCUUUCCUUACUACACCGUGAUGUGGAAGAUAAUGCACGUUGUUUUCGUUCUCUUUGUUGUCGUCGCUUUGAUAAGGCACUCGCUCGAUUACUCCCGAUAUUAAUUGUUCCUGAAUUCCUUUGUCAUAUUCUCGAAGAGGCUCAGGUUGUCUUGUUAACUUCUGAUGCAACGACCGUAACCGAUUGUAGCAAAGUUCGUAGUCGACUGCGACCUCAGGAUUGUCCUCUUUCCUAGGUAGGCGAACUUCGUACCGUUCUGCUGUAAAUCGAAUAUCACGAAUGAAGUUGACAUCAUCGUUUGGUUCAGCUUGAUAAUUGUCUACUCCUAUGGACUCUGUUUCCCAAAAACGCUUUAGUGAAUUGACAAUCUUGUCCUCGUUCGUUGGCGCGGUGAAGUAUCUUGAUGUGUCCAAUGAUUCACCAGUUAGGGUGAGAUUUGAAACAGUUGGAUCUUCGUGUUCAGCAGAUUUUGGUACUCGACCGGAUAACAACCAUCCAAGCUUGCUGCUGACCGCUGUAGGACCACUUUCACCUUUGACAACAUCACCUGUGACAAUGUCCCAAUAAUGGUCUGCGCCAAUUAGGAUAUCGAUGCUGUUACUUUCCUUAUCGUCGCCGCCAAAGUCUGCAAGUUCCAGCCCUUCCAGAUGUACGUAAUUCGUGUUGACUUUCGAGUUCAGUGGAGAACAUAUUAUAGGGAAAUUAAUUGCUGUAACUUCUACCUCUUCACUUCCGUUUUGGUUCUCGAUAUUGAAUUUGUAGAUUUCGCAGUUUUGGCGCUUGCAUUUAUUGUCCCCAAAUGUGUUCAAAUACAGUGUUUCCUUUCUAAGUGGUUCCAACUUUAAUUUCGCUUGAGUUGAAUUCGUAAUAUAAGAGCGCUGGCUCCCUGUGUCAAACAAUACGCGUACGGGAACUGAUCUUACACCGUUCGUUGCCUUUGCUCUAGCUGUUUGAAGUAAAACAGUACCCUUACAGAUUUUUGUGGCUGUUGUUGUAGAUUCCUCAUUUUUCGCCUGUUCGGUUGACUUCGCGCUUUCGACUUUCUGAUUUCGUGAACAUAUCGAUUGGUGGUGCCUGCCCUGGCAGUGGCGGCACUUUCUUGCAUUGUUACAGUCUUUCGCGUUGUGUCCUUUCCAUAAACAAUUGAAACAACGUCCUGAUUCACUAAGAACUUUCUUUCGAGCUUCACAAGGAACAAUCUUUUCGCAUGAUGCUGAAUAAUGGCGACCACUACAGUAAACG